This 435-nucleotide long non-coding RNA is filed under the name Coffea arabica (coffee). Its description in RNAcentral is "long non-coding RNA (CARA_LNC003618)". The record is from RNAcentral. Lineage: Eukaryota; Viridiplantae; Streptophyta; Magnoliopsida; Gentianales; Rubiaceae.
CUUUGAGCAUUGCCUGCUUCUUAUUGAUGGCUGCAGUUGGACCUGAAAGCUUAGGCUUUUUCACUGCAGACUCAUCUGAAGAUUUAACCUCACCAGGAGGUCUUUUAUUUGACAGAGAAGAAGAUUUGCCAACAGGACCAUCCCUCAAGGCAGAACCAUUUUGUUGAACUUUAGCUGGUAAUGUCUUCUUUUCACCCGGGUUUCUUGUCUUGCUUAUAGAUUCAACUAACUUAGACUUUGAUGAAUACCUAGAUGAUAGAGGUUUUUCGUCAUCUGAAUCUUCAUCUUCUUCGACCCCUGGCUUCUGAACCAAACUGGAACCAUCACCGUCUUUAUUACCAUGGUUAACAAUUGCCCUGGAUGACCCACUGGGAAGCUUAGCCAUCAAUGGUUUGUCAUCAUCAGAAUCCACAGGGGUGCUACUCGGUUUAGCAG